Molecule: non-coding RNA, 125 nt
Organism: Hordeum vulgare subsp. vulgare (domesticated barley)
Lineage: Eukaryota; Viridiplantae; Streptophyta; Magnoliopsida; Poales; Poaceae
Source: Rfam
AUCAUACUCCUUCUUUUCGAAAAUAUUUGUCGAAGAAAUGAAUGUAUCUAGACGUAUUUUAAUUUUACAUACAUUCAUUUUUAUUCAUUUUGGUGACAGAUAUUUCCGGACAAAGAGGGUACAUG